UACGGGGGGGGCAAGCGUUGUUCGGAAUUACUGGGCAUAAAGGGCUCGUAGGCGGCCAACUAAGUCGGACGUGAAAUCCCCAGGCUCAACCUGGGAACUGCGUCCGAUACUGGAUGGCUUGAAUCCGGGAGAGGGAUGCAGAAUUCCAGGUGUAGCGGUGAAAUGCGUAGAUAUCAAGAGGAACACCUGAGGUGAAGACGGGUUGCUGGGCUGACACUGACGCUGAGGCGCGAAAGCCAGGGGAGCAAACGGG
Molecule: ribosomal RNA, 253 nt
Filed under: uncultured bacterium
Lineage: Bacteria
Description: partial 16S ribosomal RNA
Rfam family: Bacterial small subunit ribosomal RNA
Source: RNAcentral